UGGGGAAUAUUGGACAAUGGGGGAAACCCUGAUCCAGCCAUGCCGCGUGCGUGAAGAAGGCCUUAGGGUUGUAAAGCGCUUUCGGCGGGGAAGAUGAUGACGGUACCCGCAGAAGAAGCCCCGGCCAACUACGUGCCAGCAGCCGCGGUAAGACGUAGGGGGCGAGCGUUGUCCGGAUUUAUUGGGCGUAAAGAGCUCGUAGGCGGUUGCGUAAGUCGGAUGUGAAAACUCAGGGCUCAACCCUGAGACGCCAUCCGAUACUGCGCUGACUUGAAUCCAGUAGGGGAGUGUGGAAUUCCUGGUGUAGCGGUGAAAUGCGCAGAUAUCAGGAGGAACACCCAUGGCGAAGGCAGCACUCUGGGCUGGUAUUGACGCUGAGGAGCGAAAGCAUGGGUAGCGAACAGGAUUAGAUACCCAAGUAGUCCCUGAGCGGGCUGGCAAGGCGCAU
Molecule: ribosomal RNA, 448 nt
Filed under: uncultured bacterium
Lineage: Bacteria
Description: bacterial SSU rRNA
Rfam family: Bacterial small subunit ribosomal RNA
Source: RNAcentral